AUUGAACGCUGGCGGCAUGCUUUACACAUGCAAGUCGAACGGUAACAGGCCGCAAGGUGCUGACGAGUGGCGAACGGGUGAGUAAUGCAUCGGAACGUGCCCAGUCGUGGGGGAUAACUACUCGAAAGAGUAGCUAAUACCGCAUACGAUCUAUGGAUGAAAGCGGGGGACCGUAAGGCCUCGCGCGAUUGGAGCGGCCGAUGUCAGAUUAGGUAGUUGGUGGGGUAAAGGCUCACCAAGCCAACGAUCUGUAGGUGGUCUGAGAGGACGACGAGCCACACUGGGACUGAGACACGGCCCAGACUCCUACGGGAGGCAGCAGUGGGGAAUUUUGGACAAUGGGCGCAAGCCUGAUCCAGCAAUGCCGCGUGCAGGAAGAAGGCCUUCGGGUUGUAAACUGCUUUUGUACGGAACGAAACGGCUCUGGUUAAUACCCGGGGCUAAUGACGGUACCGUAAGAAUAAGCACCGGCUAACUACGUG
This 482-nucleotide ribosomal RNA is filed under the name uncultured bacterium. Its description in RNAcentral is "partial 16S ribosomal RNA". It matches the Rfam family "Bacterial small subunit ribosomal RNA", at positions 30 to 507 of the family's 1533-position model. The record is from RNAcentral.